GACCUUCUUCGGAGGGUAUGCUUAAAGAGGGGCUUGCGCCACAUUAGUUAGUUGGUGAGGUAAAGGCUUACCAAGAUUAUGAUGUGUAGCUGGACUGAGAGGUUGAACAGCCACAUUGGGACUGAGACACGGCCCAAACUCCUACGGGAGGCAGCAGUAGGGAAUUUUCGGCAAUGGAGGAAACUCUGACCGAGCGACGCCGCGUGAACGAUGAAGUAUUUCGGUAUGUAAAGUUCUUUUAUUGAAGAAGAAAAAAUAGUGGAAAAACUAUCUUGACGUUAUUCAAUGAAUAAGCCCCGGCUAACUAUGUGCCAGCAGCCGCGGUAAGACAUAGGGGGCGAGCGUUAUCCGGAAUUAUUGGGCGUAAAGGGUGCGUAGGCGGUUAGAUAAGUCUAUAAUUUAAUUUCAGUGCUUAACGCUGUCUUGUUAUAGAAACUGUCUUGACUAGAGUGAGAUAGAGGCAAGCGGAAUUCCAUGUGUAGCGGUAAAAUGUGUAAAUAUAUGGAGGAACACCAGAAGCGUAGGCGGCUUGCUGGGUCUUUACUGACGCUGAGGCACGAAAGCGUGGGGAGCAAACAGGAUUAGAUACCCUGGUAGUCCACGCUGUAAACGAUGAGUACUAAGUGUCGGGGUAACUCGGUACUGAAGUUAACACAUUAAGUACUCCGCCUGAGUAGUACGUACGCAAGUAUGAAACUUAAAGGAAUUGACGGGACUCCGCACAAGCGGUGGAUCAUGUUGUUUAAUUCGAAGAUACACGAAAAACCUUACCAGGUCUUGACAUACUNUGCAAAGCUAUAGAAAUAUAGUGGAGGUUAUCAGGGAUACAGGUGGUGCAUGGUUGUCGUCAGUUCGUGUCGUGAGAUGUUAGGUUAAGUCCUAAAACGAACGCAACCCCUGUCGCUAGUUGCCAGCACGUAAUGGUGGGGACUUUAGCGAGACUGCCAAUUAAACAUUGGAGGAAGGUGGGGAUAACGUCAAAUCAUCAUGCCCCUUAUGAUCUGGGCUACAAACGUGAUACAAUGGCUAUUACAAAGAGUAGCUGAAACGCGAGUUUUUAGCCAAUCUCAAAAAGGUAGUCUCAGUACGGAUUGAAGUCUGCA
RNAcentral lists this ribosomal RNA (1103 nucleotides) under Candidatus Phytoplasma vitis. RNAcentral's name for it is "bacterial SSU rRNA". It matches the Rfam family "Bacterial small subunit ribosomal RNA", at positions 173 to 1309 of the family's 1533-position model. Lineage: Bacteria; Bacillati; Mycoplasmatota; Mollicutes; Acholeplasmatales; Acholeplasmataceae. The record is from RNAcentral.